Molecule: long non-coding RNA, 644 nt
Organism: Suricata suricatta (meerkat)
Lineage: Eukaryota; Metazoa; Chordata; Mammalia; Carnivora; Herpestidae
Exons: 2
Source: RefSeq, a predicted model, not a curated record
UCUCGUUUCACUUGGGAACGCAGGCUUUGCCCAUCACUGAGGGGUCACUGAGGGGCCAGAGCCUCCCGGGUCCGCUCACUUCCCGCCCUUUCCCGAAGCUGAGUGUGGGGCGCUCCUCCCCGAACCCCCGGUGUUCCCCCUCAAGGCCCUAGAAGUCCGGCCCUUCACCACGUCAGAGGGAGUGUGUUCCUUAAGGCGCUAAAAUAGAUUUCUGUGAUCAAAGAAGGUAAUUAAGGUAGACGCGGCAGAAAAUGAAGGGGCCGAGUGUGUUCUCCAAGGCCUCAGAAUCGCAGAGGCAGGUUCAGAUUGUGAAGCAGAAAGAAGUCACAAAAAUGCAACGCCAGCGUCCACGGUGGCCGCUUUUGUUCCGUGAACCUCUGAGCCAGGCUUUCCUUCUGCCUGAGCCCUCACCUGCCAUCUUCUUCUGGAAAAACAAACGGAGGGCGGGCACAUCCCAAACUUCCCGUGCUCAUCGGAACGUUGGUUUUCACGGAUUGGCACCACCAGCCAUGUGUCGUUGCCGGUCUCUGACUCAGCUCUGCCCUGGCUGUUACAUAAGGCUCCCCGGGCUUCCCUGGGAACCGGCCAUUCGUCCAAGGAGCCUCGAACCCUUUUAAUAAAUAGAGUCUGGUGUUUAGAACAAA